ACAUUUAAAAAUUCCUACCAGGUCUUACAGCGACUGCAGGCAUGAAUUCAUCAAGCAGAGUCAAGCUAGAUAGGAACCCCAAAAGAGGGGGAGAAGAUAGGAUGAGUCAUUUAAUGUCUAAUAAUGAUGUAGAAGGAUAACAUUGUUUUCCCGAACCAGAAAGACCACCUGCGAGAAGGUACAAUAGAUUGAUAAGUUGUGCUGCAGGAAGAAUAGAAAGAGAGA
This is a long non-coding RNA of Thalassophryne amazonica, 225 nucleotides long. RefSeq lists it as uncharacterized. The record is from RefSeq and is a predicted model, not a curated record. The transcript has 4 exons. NCBI's taxonomy places the organism in Eukaryota, Metazoa, Chordata, Actinopteri, Batrachoidiformes, Batrachoididae.